RNAcentral lists this ribosomal RNA (668 nucleotides) under uncultured bacterium. RNAcentral's name for it is "bacterial SSU rRNA". It matches the Rfam family "Bacterial small subunit ribosomal RNA", at positions 8 to 719 of the family's 1533-position model. The record is from RNAcentral.
AGAGUUUGAUCCUGGCUCAGAACGAACGCUGGCGGCAGGCCUAACACAUGCAAGUCGAACGGGGACCUUCGGGUCUUACGUGGCGCACGGGUGAGUAACGCGUGGGAAUCUACCCCAAAGUCGGGGAUAACCGCUGGAAACGGCGGCUAAUACCGGAUACGCCCUGCGGGGCAAAGCUUUUGCGCUUUGGGAGGAGCCCGCGUCCGAUUAGCUAGUUGGUGGGGUAACGGCCUACCAAGGCUGCGAUCGGUAGCUGGUCUGAGAGGAUGAUCAGCCACACUGGGACUGAGACACGGCCCAGACUCCUACGGGAGGCAGCAGUGGGGAAUCUUGGACAAUGGGGGCAACCCUGAUCCAGCCAUGCCGCGUGGGUGAAGAAGGCCUUAGGGUUGUAAAGCCCUUUCGGCGGGGAAGAUGAUGACGGUACCCGCAGAAGAAGCCCCGGCUAACUCCGUGCCAGCAGCCGCGGUAAUACGGAGGGGGCUAGCGUUGUUCGGAAUCACUGGGCGUAAAGGGCGCGUAGGCGGACCACCAAGUCAGGGGUGAAAGCCCUGGGCUCAACCUAGGAAGUGCCCUUGAAACUGAUGGUCUUGAGUCCGGGAGAGGAGAGCGGAAUUCCCAGUGUAGAGGUGAAAUUCGUAGAUAUUGGGAAGAACACCGGUGGCGAA